UCAUGAACAUUUCAGUGUGUUCCUUAGAAAAGAGCACGCAGUUUCUUUAUGGAAUCGUGCUGUCCUGGCACGGUCGCACGGAGAUUCUUGUGCCAAUGCUGACCUUUGUCCAUGACGGAAGAGGGACUUCCACCAACAUCCUUAUCUUCGCGACGCACGCUAAUCUAGCUUCACUGCUUCUAAACACAAUUUGUUGUACUUCACUGGCGACUUGGCGAGUUUCUGGACCACUUCAGUGAUCGCUUCCGUCCGCUGUUACACACCUGCAGUCACUCACCAUGGGAUUAUGCCCAGGUAAUGCACAGGAGACGUCGAGAAGAUGAAUUUUCUCAUCUAUAACAAUCGUCACCGGUCUCUGUCGGAUGUUGCUGCUCCUUGCGAGAACGAAACUCGGUGGAAUCGCGACCGACACCGAGACUCGUCAUCAACGUGGAUCAUCGUAUUGUUGGUAUUAUUGCGUUUGUGUUAGUUAACCCGUUGGUUGCCACGCCUUUGUUCUUCCCUGCACGGGCCGCGCUGUUCGGUCUCGUGGUUUUACAAGCCGCGGGGUCGGAGAGUCGCCAAGCCCAAAAUUUGCCGCAAGGCAAGCCUGUUAAAAGGCAAUGCACCUUAGUCCCCCCCUUGUCAGCACGGACUUGUCAGCAAUGGCAAGUCCCAUUUGGUCAUGGAUCCUUCAGACGUGGCGCGUAG
This 690-nucleotide long non-coding RNA is filed under the name Daphnia pulicaria. RNAcentral describes it as "uncharacterized LOC124315770". Lineage: Eukaryota; Metazoa; Arthropoda; Branchiopoda; Diplostraca; Daphniidae. The record is from RNAcentral.